Molecule: ribosomal RNA, 1474 nt
Filed under: Lacticaseibacillus casei
Lineage: Bacteria; Bacillati; Bacillota; Bacilli; Lactobacillales; Lactobacillaceae
Description: bacterial SSU rRNA
Rfam family: Bacterial small subunit ribosomal RNA
Source: RNAcentral
AUGGGGGGUGCCUAAUACAUGCAAGUCGAACGAGUUCUCGUUGAUGAUCGGUGCUUGCACCGAGAUUCAACAUGGAACGAGUGGCGGACGGGUGAGUAACACGUGGGUAACCUGCCCUUAAGUGGGGGAUAACAUUUGGAAACAGAUGCUAAUACCGCAUAGAUCCAAGAACCGCAUGGUUCUUGGCUGAAAGAUGGCGUAAGCUAUCGCUUUUGGAUGGACCCGCGGCGUAUUAGCUAGUUGGUGAGGUAAUGGCUCACCAAGGCGAUGAUACGUAGCCGAACUGAGAGGUUGAUCGGCCACAUUGGGACUGAGACACGGCCCAAACUCCUACGGGAGGCAGCAGUAGGGAAUCUUCCACAAUGGACGCAAGUCUGAUGGAGCAACGCCGCGUGAGUGAAGAAGGCUUUCGGGUCGUAAAACUCUGUUGUUGGAGAAGAAUGGUCGGCAGAGUAACUGUUGUCGGCGUGACGGUAUCCAACCAGAAAGCCACGGCUAACUACGUGCCAGCAGCCGCGGUAAUACGUAGGUGGCAAGCGUUAUCCGGAUUUAUUGGGCGUAAAGCGAGCGCAGGCGGUUUUUUAAGUCUGAUGUGAAAGCCCUCGGCUUAACCGAGGAAGCGCAUCGGAAACUGGGAAACUUGAGUGCAGAAGAGGACAGUGGAACUCCAUGUGUAGCGGUGAAAUGCGUAGAUAUAUGGAAGAACACCAGUGGCGAAGGCGGCUGUCUGGUCUGUAACUGACGCUGAGGCUCGAAAGCAUGGGUAGCGAACAGGAUUAGAUACCCUGGUAGUCCAUGCCGUAAACGAUGAAUGCUAGGUGUUGGAGGGUUUCCGCCCUUCAGUGCCGCAGCUAACGCAUUAAGCAUUCCGCCUGGGGAGUACGACCGCAAGGUUGAAACUCAAAGGAAUUGACGGGGGCCCGCACAAGCGGUGGAGCAUGUGGUUUAAUUCGAAGCAACGCGAAGAACCUUACCAGGUCUUGACAUCUUUUGAUCACCUGAGAGAUCAGGUUUCCCCUUCGGGGGCAAAAUGACAGGUGGUGCAUGGUUGUCGUCAGCUCGUGUCGUGAGAUGUUGGGUUAAGUCCCGCAACGAGCGCAACCCUUAUGACUAGUUGCCAGCAUUUAGUUGGGCACUCUAGUAAGACUGCCGGUGACAAACCGGAGGAAGGUGGGGAUGACGUCAAAUCAUCAUGCCCCUUAUGACCUGGGCUACACACGUGCUACAAUGGAUGGUACAACGAGUUGCGAGACCGCGAGGUCAAGCUAAUCUCUUAAAGCCAUUCUCAGUUCGGACUGUAGGCUGCAACUCGCCUACACGAAGUCGGAAUCGCUAGUAAUCGCGGAUCAGCACGCCGCGGUGAAUACGUUCCCGGGCCUUGUACACACCGCCCGUCACACCAUGAGAGUUUGUAACACCCGAAGCCGGUGGCGUAACCCUUUUAGGGAGCGAGCCGUCUAAGGUGAACCAAAUU